This 695-nucleotide ribosomal RNA is filed under the name uncultured bacterium. RNAcentral describes it as "bacterial SSU rRNA". It matches the Rfam family "Bacterial small subunit ribosomal RNA", at positions 8 to 736 of the family's 1533-position model. The record is from RNAcentral.
AGAGUUUGAUCCUGGCUCAGAAUCAACGCUGGCGGCGCGCCUAACACAUGCAAGUCGAACGAGAAAGUGGAGCAAUCCAUGAGUACAGUGGCGUACGGGUGAGUAACACGUGGGUAAUCUACCUUUUAGUGAGGAAUAACCGAGGGAAACUUUGGCUAAUACCGCAUAAGCCUGAGAAGGGAAAGCAGAAAUGCGCUGAAAGAGGAGCCCGCGGCCGAUUAGCUAGUUGGUGGGGUAAGAGCCCACCAAGGCAGAGAUCGGUAGCCGGCCUGAGAGGGCACACGGCCACACUGGCACUGAAACACGGGCCAGACUCCUACGGGAGGCAGCAGUGGGGAAUCUUGCACAAUGGGGGAAACCCUGAUGCCGCGACGCCGCGUGAGCGAUGAAGCCCUUCGGGGUGUAAAGCUCUUUCGUCAGGGAAGAUAGUGACGGUACCUGGAGAAGCAGCUGCGGCUAACUACGUGCCAGCAGCCGCGGUAAUACGUANGCAGCAAGCGUUGUUCGGAGUUACUGGGCGUAAAGGGUGUGUAGGCGGUUCCUUAAGUUUGCUGUGAAAUCUCCCGGCUUAACCGGGAGGGUGCGGUGAAUACUGAGGGACUAGAGUACGGGAGAAGAAGUGGNAUUCCUGGUGUAGCGGUGAAAUGCGUAGAUAUCANGAGGAACACNGGCGGNGUAGACNGCUUUCUGGACCG